UCGUCUUCGUAUGCGAGUGUUCGGGUGUCAAACCCCUACGCGUAAUGAAAGUGAACGUAGGUGAGAGGCUUCGGCGAUCAUCACCGACCGAUCCUGAUGUUCUCGGAUGGAUUUGAGUAAGAGCAUACGGGGCCGG
RNAcentral lists this ribosomal RNA (136 nucleotides) under Ixodes persulcatus (taiga tick). Its description in RNAcentral is "partial 28S ribosomal RNA". It matches the Rfam family "Eukaryotic large subunit ribosomal RNA", at positions 674 to 813 of the family's 3401-position model. The record is from RNAcentral. Lineage: Eukaryota; Metazoa; Arthropoda; Arachnida; Ixodida; Ixodidae.